Molecule: ribosomal RNA, 456 nt
Filed under: uncultured bacterium
Lineage: Bacteria
Description: bacterial SSU rRNA
Rfam family: Bacterial small subunit ribosomal RNA
Source: RNAcentral
UACGGAAGGCAGCAGUGGGGAAUAUUGCACAAUGGGCGAAAGCCUGAUGCAGCUAUGCCGCGUGUAUGAAGAAGGCCUUAGGGUUGUAAAGUACUUUCAUCGGGGAGGAAAAAACAAAACUAAUAAUUUUAUUUCUUGACGUUACCCGAAAAAGAAGCACCGGCUAACUCCGUGCCAGCAGCCGCGGUAAUACGGAGGGUGCUAGCGUUAAUCAGAAUUACUGGGCGUAAAGAGCACGUAGGUGGUUUUUUUAAGUCAGAUGUGAAAUCCCUGGGCUUAACCUAGGAACUGCAUUUUGAAACUGAAAUACUAGAGUAUCGUAGAGGGAGGUAGAAUUCUAGGUGUAGCGGUGAAAUGCGUAGAUAUCUGGAGGAAUACCUGUGGCGAAAGCGGCCUCCUAAACGAAUACUGACACUGAGGUACGAAAGCGUGGGGAGCAAACAGGGAUUAGAUACC